CAGCGGGGAAAGAAGACCCUGUUGAGCUUGACUCUAGUCUGACUCUGUGAAGAGACAUGAGAGGUGUAGCAUAAGUGGGAGGCCGUGAACCCUCGCGGUUGUGUCGUGCCGUCAGUGAAAUACCACUACUUUCAUCGUUUCUUUACUUACUCGGUGAAGCGGAAAGCGGACCAUGAGUGUCCACGCUUCUAGCACUAAGUGCAAGGCCCUUCGUUGGCCCGCACGAUCUGUUCCGAGGACAGUGUCAGGCGGGGAGUUUGACUGGGGCGGUACAUCUGUCAAAUGGUAACGCAGGUGUCCUAAGGCGAGCUCAGCGAGGACAGAAACCUCGCGUAGAGCAAAAGGGCAAAUGCUUGCUUGAUCUGGAUUUCAGUACGAUUACAGACGCGAAGCGGGGCCCUCGAUCCUUUGACUUUA
RNAcentral lists this non-coding RNA (417 nucleotides) under Ixodes scapularis (black-legged tick). Its description in RNAcentral is "Archaeal large subunit ribosomal RNA". It matches the Rfam family "Eukaryotic large subunit ribosomal RNA", at positions 2395 to 2784 of the family's 3401-position model. Lineage: Eukaryota; Metazoa; Arthropoda; Arachnida; Ixodida; Ixodidae. The record is from Rfam by way of RNAcentral.